UACUGCUGUGGGGGUAGCACCAGAUAAGGUCCUUUC
This 36-nucleotide non-coding RNA is filed under the name Mus musculus (house mouse). The record is from RNAcentral. Lineage: Eukaryota; Metazoa; Chordata; Mammalia; Rodentia; Muridae.